GCGGCCUAUCAGCUUGUUGGUGGGGUAGUGGCCUACCAAGGCGACGACGGGUAGCCGGCCUGAGAGGGUGACCGGCCACACUGGGACUGAGACACGGCCCAGACUCCUACGGGAGGCAGCAGUGGGGAAUAUUGCGCAAUGGGCGGAAGCCUGACGCAGCGACGCCGCGUGGGGGAUGACGGCCUUCGGGUUGUAAACCUCUUUCAGCAGGGACGAAGCGAAAGUGACGGUACCUGCAGAAGAAGCACCGGCCAACUACGUGCCAGCAGCCGCGGUAAUACGUAGGGUGCAAGCGUUGUCCGGAAUUAUUGGGCGUAAAGAGCUCGUAGGCGGUCUGUCGCGUCGGCUGUGAAAUCCCGAGGCUCAACCUCGGGUCUGCAGUCGAUACGGGCAAACUGGAGUACUGCAGGGGAGACUGGAAUUCCUGGUGUAGCGGUGAAAUGCGCAGAUAUCAGGAGGAACACCGGUGGCGAAGGCGGGUCUCUGGGCAGUAACUGACGCUGAGGAGCGAAAGCGUGGGGAGCGAACAGGAUUAGAUACCCUGGUAGUCCACGCCGUAAACGUUGGGCGCUAGGUGUGGGGCUCAUUCCACGAGUUCCGUGCCGCAGCUAACGCAUUAAGCGCCCCGCCUGGGGAGUACGG
Molecule: ribosomal RNA, 642 nt
Filed under: uncultured bacterium
Lineage: Bacteria
Description: bacterial SSU rRNA
Rfam family: Bacterial small subunit ribosomal RNA
Source: RNAcentral